This 213-nucleotide ribosomal RNA is filed under the name uncultured Staphylococcus sp. Its description in RNAcentral is "partial 16S ribosomal RNA". It matches the Rfam family "Bacterial small subunit ribosomal RNA", at positions 149 to 355 of the family's 1533-position model. Lineage: Bacteria; Bacillati; Bacillota; Bacilli; Caryophanales; Staphylococcaceae. The record is from RNAcentral.
CUUGGAAACCGGAGCUAAUACCGGAUAAGAUAUCGAACCGCAUGGUUCGAUAGUGAAAGAUGGUUUUGCUAUCACUUAUAGAUGGACCCGCGCCGUAUUAGCUAGUUGGUGAGGUAACGGCUCACCAAGGCAACGAUACGUAGCCGACCUGAGAGGGUGAUCGGCCACACUGGAACUGAGACACGGUCCAGACUCCUACGGGAGGCAGCAGUA